RNAcentral lists this ribosomal RNA (253 nucleotides) under uncultured bacterium. RNAcentral's name for it is "partial 16S ribosomal RNA". It matches the Rfam family "Bacterial small subunit ribosomal RNA", at positions 524 to 776 of the family's 1533-position model. The record is from RNAcentral.
UACGAAGGGGGCUAGCGUUGUUCGGAAUUACUGGGCGUAAAGGGCGCGUAGGCGGUACUUCAAGUCAGGCGUGAAAGCCCCGGGCUCAACCUGGGAACCGCGCUUGAGACUGGAGAACUAGAGUUCGGGAGAGGAUGGUGGAAUUCCCAGUGUAGAGGUGAAAUUCGUAGAUAUUGGGAAGAACACCGAUGGCGAAGGCAGCCAUCUGGACCGACACUGACGCUGAGGUGCGAAAGUGUGGGGAUCAAACAGG